This is a non-coding RNA of Chiloscyllium plagiosum (whitespotted bambooshark), 2574 nucleotides long. NCBI's taxonomy places the organism in Eukaryota, Metazoa, Chordata, Chondrichthyes, Orectolobiformes, Hemiscylliidae. The record is from RefSeq and is a predicted model, not a curated record.
CUGAGGCUGAAAUCGAACCCAGGUCUCUGGCACUGUGAAGCUGUAGUGCUAACCACUGAGCCAUUUCAGACAGACAGUAAUGGCCAGGCCAAAAGGAAUCCCAAUGUAACCUCAGGUCAGAAGAGUCCAAACCUUACUAAUUCCCCAAGAGAAUGCAAAGGUGAUAAAAUUGUGCUGCCACUUAUGAGAUGACAGCAACAUUUUUCAAUAAAAAUGUAAUGUGGGAGCACACCCAAUACCUAAUUUGAUAAUAGACAGCAUGUGACUGGGCAAUCAUGGCCAGAAAGUCCCAGGUAUGAUUUUGAAUUACUGCUGAUUCGACUGAUCUUAGAAGACCGUAAAUCACAAUAAGGCUACUGGAAGUGAGCCAGGUAAAACAGCAGGGGGUUCACUGUUAGAUAUUUAUCAAUGGAGUGUGCAUAUUUAGAUGUUGUAGAUUAACUUCCUUACUUUACUUUCAGGUUACUGCACCCUGAAAUCUCAAGGUAUUGCUUUUCUUGCAGUACUAGCUGUCUGCUACUUGAGAUGAUCCCACUGUUAGUAUGAACAAUUGCCUGUACAAUUUUGAAAUUGUCUUUCAAACUUAAUCUAAUAUUGCUGCAAAAAUAAGGUAAUAUCAGGCCGUCCAUAUGCAACAAACGAAAUUGCUCUAAAAAAAUCAACGUAUCUGGCAGCAUCUGUGGAGAGAAAACAGUUAACAUUCAGAGUCAAUCUGAAGAAGAAUGAAUGCAUUCAAAACAUUAACACUCCCUUCUCUCCACAGGUUGCUGGACUUGCUGAGUUUUUCCAGCACUUUCGAUUUUUCUUUCUUUUUGGAUCUCCAGCAUCUGCAGUUCCUUAUUUUAGUCCACAUGUGCAAAUCAGUCAUUGUAUUUUUUAACAAGCUUCAUCAUUUUUGCAGCAGUAUCAUGUACAAACAUCACAGCUGGCAACAGAGUUAGGUCAUUCAGUCCUUCGAACCUGUCCCACCAUUCAUCGAAAUCGUGGCCAAUCUGUUUGCAGUCUCAACCUUACUUUGCUGUCUGCCAGCCUUGUCAAUCAUAAAUCAGUGUCAUGUUGUUGUACUAGUGACCAUCAGAGGGCACCACAGUUCCAUGCAGGUGACCAUUUACUGGAUUAAGUUUCUUCAGUUGAUCAUUUUCUUGUUUUUGUUCUCAAGAUAUUUUCAUACACUUGUCAAAUUUCACCCUGAAGUGUACUACAAAAGAAAAUUGAAACAGUGACGUUAGAAAAGGUACUUAAGUGCUCUUAAAAAAUAAAAGUUUGGGAAAUUGAGGAAAAAGACAUGAAAUUGAAAACUUAAAACAAAUCAUAGAUUCAAUUUUAAUUUUAAUUUAUUUAAACAUUGUACACUUAAAGGAUGACAACAAUCAGCUUUGGGCUGAUGAGUAUUGGCAAGAAACAUCUUUUCAGGCCAAGAUAAUGCAAAUUGUUUCAAAAAGUGAUCUUGCAAACCAAUAGGCCAUUCUACCACUUGCAUGUGGCGUAAAAUGUAAUACACAGCUUUCCUGGAGCUGAUUAAACAAAUUACACCAAAAGUUCCUGCUGGGUUGCUCCAAUAAUUUCUGUUUUUGUUUCAGGUUUCCAGCAUCCACAGUUCUCCUCUAUUACCGCUCCAGUUGGUGUUUCAUGUCUUUGAAGAAUAUUUAUAUUCUGCAAACCAUAAAUAAUUAUUUUUAAUCAGUUUGAUAAAAUCCAAAUUCUGUAUUUGCAUUCUGCGAAUUAAGUGCAAGUUGCUAACAGUUGAUUUGUAGAGUGAUUUUGAUUCUCCCCUCUCUUUUCUGACGGCAUCACGUUGUACUUACAGACCAGGGGCUGAGAGAAAGCAGCUUGGUGCCCACCUACAUGGAGGAGCUUAACCACCUGGAGAUGCUACCUGACCUGAUGAGUAUUCCCAGAUUUUAUCUUUCUAUUUCAAUUGGAGAAGUUGCUUUUGUAUAAAGUACAUCAGACAGAAUGGAGCAGCAUUAGACAUUUAGGUUGUCAAGCUCAUAAUGAGUGCAAUCUACAUUGAUCAUGGAUGCUGCCCAGUCCAUACGCAGAGGACAAUAUGAUGGCAACAUAUUUAAUAUUUUUUGUGGACUUGUGUUUGAAGGAUUAUGGAUACAUGGAUUUUAAAGAGAUUAAUAAAGGAUCGUGGAACAUCCUUUUUACGAGAUUUUUAACUUAGAUAGCACAUUGAUCCAGGUAAUCAUCGGUCUUGAUUUUUUGGACUCACUUCAGAAAAAACAUCUGGCAACUUUUGCAGCAGAGUUUCAUAACUUUCUGUCUGAAAAAUAUUUUGCAUACUCAGAGGUGGUUUUAGAUUUCAGAAGGUGAAAGGGCUCAGCCCAAGCCUCCUGCUUCUGAAGAAUGCUAUAUCCUGAUUGUCCUCUUGGAGUGUGACUGGAAGAUUUCACAAUACUGUGUUUCCUGAUCAUGCUGUGUCUGCCUAGAUCCCAAAGUUAUUUGAUGAUGCUUGUGACACUGUCUACCAUAGUGCCAGACUUUCACCAACUAAGCAUUUCAUACCAUAUUCUUUUUGCAUUCAUGAACUAAAACUGCUUGAUUAAAAAUAUAUUUUCUCACAAUGAA